ACGGAGGGUGCAAGCGUUGUUCGGAAUUACUGGGCGUAAAGCGCGCGUAGGCGGUUUUAUAAGUCAGAUGUGAAAGUCCACGGCUCAACCGUGGAAGUGCAUUUGAAACUGUAUUACUUGAGUACUGGAGGGGGUGGUGGAAUUCCCGGUGUAGAGGUGAAAUUCGUAGAUAUCGGGAGGAAUACCGGUGGCGAAGGCGACCACCUGGCCAGAUACUGACGCUGAGGUGCGAAAGCGUGGGGAGCAAACAGG
Molecule: ribosomal RNA, 252 nt
Filed under: uncultured bacterium
Lineage: Bacteria
Description: partial 16S ribosomal RNA
Rfam family: Bacterial small subunit ribosomal RNA
Source: RNAcentral